CCUUCCCUUCCGCAAGACGAAACAGGAGUCCGGUGGCCCUUCAGAGACUUGGCAAAAUUUAUCCCCGGCAUAAGGAGCAGCGAACACUCAGAAUUCCUGCACGUAUUUUACAAAUUCUAUCCCGCCCAGAAGUCACAAUUUUGGUGCAUCUUACAACAACGAAGAAACGCAAUUCGGACAGCAGCAGUCAAAUAACAGAAACAAACAGCAGCCGAGCAGGAUGAAACAUUCUGAAACAAGGGACACACUGAAAGACAGACUAAGAGCUUGUUAAUUAAAAUAAUAAUAAUAAUUGACCUGGUAUUUCUUUCAGCAUGGGUGGAAGCCAGGAUGGGACCUAGUCAGUGUUGUGCCAACCAUCUGCUAUGCGUACAACACAACCAGCAAUUGCAGUGUGAGCUACUGGCCAAAAGAAAUAGCACACCACCAUAAUAGAGAAAUGCUUGACACAAUGUUAUAUGCCGC
Molecule: long non-coding RNA, 465 nt
Organism: Gekko japonicus
Lineage: Eukaryota; Metazoa; Chordata; Lepidosauria; Squamata; Gekkonidae
Exons: 4
Source: RefSeq, a predicted model, not a curated record